UACAAGGUUUUGACUCUUCGUCUUAUUUGAAAUUUUUUUGCGAUUAAUAUUUUUAUUUGUACUAGAUGAUAAAAUAUGAAUAGUACUUUAUACGUGACUAAUUUUUGUAAGUUUUUUUACAAAUUUUUCAAAUAAGACGAAUGGUCAAACGUUGGACACAGAAAAACA
Molecule: microRNA precursor, 168 nt
Filed under: Oryza brachyantha (malo sina)
Lineage: Eukaryota; Viridiplantae; Streptophyta; Magnoliopsida; Poales; Poaceae
Description: MIR812 microRNA precursor family
Rfam family: MIR812 microRNA precursor family
Source: Rfam by way of RNAcentral